GCUACUGCACUAGCUAACAUUUAAUCUGUGAUGACUACAUACUCCUCGUGACUUUAAGAGCUUUAAGUAUUUUAACUCAUUUAAUUCUUAGAACAUUGCUAUGAGUUCUGUAAUACUAUUGUUGUUUACCGAAGAGGAAACUGAGGCACAGAAAGCCCAAGCUCUUGCACAAGGAUCAGAAGGGGGUAUAACCAGAAUUUGUUUCUCAGCAUCCUGACCAACAAUUAUUUUACCUACUAAACAGGGAAGCCUUUCAAAUAUAAUCCAGGGUAUCCGCUUCAUUUUACAACUAAAGAAAUGAAGGCUGGGUAAGGAUAAAGGACUCACAAAGAUCGUGUGUUUAGUUUCUGCUGGUCUAGACAUCUGGGUUCCAAAAGAAGAAUGCAUCUCCCAGGAGACAUGACAAUGAUUCCAUUCAACAGGAAGUUGAGACUGCCACCUGAACACUUUGGGCUCCUCAUGCCUCUGAAUCAACGGGCAAAGAAGAGAGUUAUAGAUCCUAACCACCCAGGAGAAAUUCGGUGGCCACUACACAAACAGACUUUUCUGACUCUGCGGCCAGGUGUUUGUAUUUAACUCCACGGUGAGGAGACUCAUCUUCUGACGGACCUAACCUAUACCAUCAAGCUCCAGCACCACAAGCAAAGACAAAAACCUUGCGGAAACUAUUUAACUAACUCCCACAAUUGCAUAAGAAGAGUCAUGAUCCUAAGAACAGAAGGGAGAUCCCUGUUGCUUUGACUUCUUGCUGUCCUCCUGCUAUUUGGCUCAAAAUGCAAACUCAGUUAUGAGAAGUACAUAGAAGAACAGGUAAACUAAAGCCUGGGCUUUUUCACCAGAGGAUGUGGAAAAGAGGCUUCAGGAAAUUGAGAAGUAUUAUGGAGAUUGCAAAAAUGAGGGAGCUGAAGAAAGAGUUAGAAUGACAGUGAAUGUGAGAAGAGAGAGAGAUGAAUACCACGAAGUUGCGUAUGUACUGCUGGACUAUACCCUGAACUGAGCAUGUAAACAUCUGACCACAGAUGGUAUAAUAAGGCUUUGAAAACUAAGCUACAAUAAAGACCAUCACCCAGGCCAAAAAUUGCUACUUGGAAAUGCACACACAGACUGAUCCAAAUAGCAUUGAAAACACUUAAAGAAAUGGUGCAGACAUUGGAGUCACAAUCCAAAGAAGGCAGAUCAGAGUUUGUUCCAUAAGCCUGAAUAGGUUGAUUGCUUAAUAUAAGAAGAAAAUCAACCUUUUUCUUAUGAUUUAAGACAUAAUCAGAGUCUCAUAACAUAUUCUCAAAAUGCCCAGGAUAUAAUUUAAAAUUAUUUGGCAUAUGAGAAACCAGUGUGAUCGUCUCUUAACUCUUAAAGAAAAAGACAAUUAAAAAUAUCACAAUCAAAAUGACAGGAAUGUUGUAUUUAUCAGAUAAAGACAUUAAAGAGAUAUUAUAACCAUGCUCUAACAGGCAAAUGAAAAGACUCAUAAUGAAUAGAAAAAUAGAAGGUCUCAGCAAAGAGAAAGAAUAUAUGAAGAUGAAAAAUGGAAAUUUUAGAACUGGACAAUGUGACAGUCCAAAGAGAAAAUUCACUGGAUGGACUAAAUAGGAUAAUGGAGAUAACAGAGGAAAAGAGGCAGAUGACUUGAAUACCGAUCAUGAGAAAUUAACUAUUUCAAAGAAGAGAGUAAAAAGAGACUUAAAAAUAAAAUGAACAGAGCCUCUGAGUCCUGUGAAACAAUGUCAAAAAGCCUAAUAUUGGUGUCAUCUGAACCACAGAAGGAGGAAGAAAGUAUGAGAAAAAAUAUCUAAAGAAAAAUAGCCAGAAACUUCCUUAAUUUGGCGAAAGAUAAAAUCUUAAAGAUGCCUGAGGAGGCUCAGGAAACUCUAAGGAGAAGAAGCUACAAAAAAUCUACACUCUAAAACUUCUGAAAUUAAAAAACAAAGAAAAAAUUUUUGAAUGCACCCAGAAACUCAAUACAAAUGGAGAAUUCUGAUUUGAAUACUGUAUAUUUUAUAUAAGGAAACAUGGUAGUUAAGGGGAAGUGGAACAACAUUUUUUAAGUGAUGCAAAAAAUGAUUCUAUAUUCAGAAAUCUUUAUCCAGUAAAAAUAUUCUUGAUAAAUGAAAAUCAAAUAAAGAUAUUCCUGAUGAAACUAAA
RNAcentral lists this long non-coding RNA (2142 nucleotides) under Homo sapiens (human). RNAcentral describes it as "long independently transcribed non-coding RNA 1938, transcript variant 1 (LINC01938)". The record is from RNAcentral. Lineage: Eukaryota; Metazoa; Chordata; Mammalia; Primates; Hominidae.